AACGAACGCUGGCGGCAUGCCUAACACAUGCAAGUCGAACGAGACCUUCGGGUCUAGUGGCGCACGGGUGCGUAACGCGUGGGAACCUGCCCUUAGGUUCGGAAUAACUCCCCGAAAGGGGUGCUAAUACCGGAUAAGGUCUUCGGACCAAAGAUUUAUCGCCUUUGGAUGGGCCCGCGUUGGAUUAGCUGGUUGGUAGGGUAAAAGCCUACCAAGGCGACGAUCCAUAGCUGGUCUGAGAGGAUGAUCAGCCACACUGGGACUGAGACACGGCCCAGACUCCUACGGGAGGCAGCAGUGGGGAAUAUUGGACAAUGGGCGAAAGCCUGAUACAGCAAUGCCGCGUGAGUGAUGAAGGCCUUAGGGUUGUAAAGCUCUUUUACCCGGGAUGAUAAUGACAGUACCGGGAGAAUAAGCUCCGGCUAACUACGUG
Molecule: ribosomal RNA, 433 nt
Filed under: uncultured bacterium
Lineage: Bacteria
Description: partial 16S ribosomal RNA
Rfam family: Bacterial small subunit ribosomal RNA
Source: RNAcentral